CAACUACUUCCUUUGUCCCAAAAUUCUUGUCUUAGAUUUGUCUAGAUACGGAUGUAUGUAGAUACAUCCGUAUCUAGACAAAUCUAAGACAAGAAUAUUGGGACGGAGGGAGUACUUU
Non-coding RNA from Triticum aestivum (bread wheat), 118 nucleotides. The record is from Rfam. NCBI's taxonomy places the organism in Eukaryota, Viridiplantae, Streptophyta, Magnoliopsida, Poales, Poaceae.